CCAGACUCCUACGGGAGGCAGCAGUGGGGAAUAUUGGGCAAUGGGCGCAAGCCUGACCCAGCAACGCCGCGUGAAGGAAGAAGGCUUUCGGAUUGUAAACUUCUUUUAAGAGGGAAGAGCAGAAGACGGUACCUCUUGAAUAAGCCACGGCUAACUACGUGCCAGCAGCCGCGGUAAUACGUAGGUGGCAAGCGUUGUCCGGAUUUACUGGGUGUAAAGGGCGUGCAGCCGGGAAGACAAGUCAGAUGUGAAAUCCCGCGGCUCAACCGCGGAACUGCAUUUGAAACUGUUUUUCUUGAGUACCGGAGAGGUCAUCGGAAUUCCUUGUGUAGCGGUGAAAUGCGUAGAUAUAAGGGAGAACACCAGUGGCGAAGGCGGCCUACUGGACGGUGACUGACGCUGAGGCUCGAAAGCGUGGGGAGCAAACAGGAUUAGAUACCCCGGUAC
This 447-nucleotide ribosomal RNA is filed under the name uncultured bacterium. RNAcentral's name for it is "bacterial SSU rRNA". It matches the Rfam family "Bacterial small subunit ribosomal RNA", at positions 331 to 793 of the family's 1533-position model. The record is from RNAcentral.